RNAcentral lists this ribosomal RNA (253 nucleotides) under uncultured bacterium. Its description in RNAcentral is "partial 16S ribosomal RNA". It matches the Rfam family "Bacterial small subunit ribosomal RNA", at positions 524 to 776 of the family's 1533-position model. The record is from RNAcentral.
UACAGAGGUCUCAAGCGUUGUUCGGAUUCAUUGGGCGUAAAGGGUGCGUAGGCGGCGCGGUAAGUCGGGUGUGAAAUCUCGGGGCUUAACUCCGAAACUGCAUUCGAUACUGCCGUGCUUGAGGACUGGAGAGGAGACUGGAAUUUACGGUGUAGCGGUGAAAUGCGUAGAUAUCGUAAGGAAGACCAGUGGCGAAGGCGGGUCUCUGGACAGCUCCUGACGCUGAGGCACGAAGGCCAGGGGAGCAACCGGG